This 484-nucleotide ribosomal RNA is filed under the name Bacillus cereus. RNAcentral's name for it is "bacterial SSU rRNA". It matches the Rfam family "Bacterial small subunit ribosomal RNA", at positions 395 to 870 of the family's 1533-position model. Lineage: Bacteria; Bacillati; Bacillota; Bacilli; Caryophanales; Bacillaceae. The record is from RNAcentral.
CGCCGCGUGAGUGAUGAAGGCUUUCGGGUCGUAAAACUCUGUUGUUAGGGAAGAACAAGUGCUAGUUGAAUAAGCUGGCACCUUGACGGUACCUAACCAGAAAGCCACGGCUAACUACGUGCCAGCAGCCGCGGUAAUACGUAGGUGGCAAGCGUUAUCCGGAAUUAUUGGGCGUAAAGCGCGCGCAGGUGGUUUCUUAAGUCUGAUGUGAAAGCCCACGGCUCAACCGUGGAGGGUCAUUGGAAACUGGGAGACUUGAGUGCAGAAGAGGAAAGUGGAAUUCCAUGUGUAGCGGUGAAAUGCGUAGAGAUAUGGAGGAACACCAGUGGCGAAGGCGACUUUCUGGUCUGUAACUGACACUGAGGCGCGAAAGCGUGGGGAGCAAACAGGAUUAGAUACCCUGGUAGUCCACGCCGUAAACGAUGAGUGCUAAGUGUUAGAGGGUUUCCGCCCUUUAGUGCUGAAGUUAACGCAUAAGCACUCC